Molecule: non-coding RNA, 10375 nt
Organism: Chlorocebus sabaeus (green monkey)
Lineage: Eukaryota; Metazoa; Chordata; Mammalia; Primates; Cercopithecidae
Source: RefSeq, a predicted model, not a curated record
CAGAGCAAAACCCCAUCUCAACAAACAAAAAAACAGACAUCUUAUAAUACAAAUAUACACACCUCUUGUGUAUUUUCAAAAAUACAUUUACGUUUAUUUCAAGGCCUUUGAUAUAUAUUGCUAAAUUGUUUCUCCAAAGGAUUAUAUUAAUUUGUACUCCCACAAGCAAUGAAUGAGAACUCACUUGCUUCAAGCCACCUUCAGCAGCCCCUUCUUCCUUCUAUACAUUUCACCCUCGACAUUCUUUAUAACCUGAGAUCAAUGUUGGUUUAGGAAGAGUGAUGGGACAUACUGAGAUAUGUCAUGUUGAUAACUAUAGAAGGAUUGAAAAGGAAAUCUCUUAAAAAAUCAGCAAAUAUGAGAGCCAAUAACUCAGUAUUUAAGUGUAAGGGCUUAUAUAAUAAUAUAUAAUAAUCUUCAAAAUAAAUAACUCAUGUUAUUUAGAUUACUAUUCCUAUUAUUAUUGUAACUCAUUACAUUACAUGAGUUAUUAUUUUAAAGAUAUUUUGAAGAUUAAGUGAAAUUCAUGUUAAACAUUUAGCAUAAUCCUUGAAUCUCAAUCAUAUAAUAAGCAUUAGCUGACAUUUUUAUAAUCACUAAGAAAAUAAGCAGACUUUCUGUUGAAAUUUUUCCAGGUGAAGUUUGAAUUAGAGUCAAAAUUGUAGAAAGCUUGCUAUGAAGCCCCUUCACUUUAAAUUUAUUUGGCAUUCUAAUAACAACUCCAUUUUAUAAUCAUAGAUUCUAAUACAAUGCCAAUUCUGCUUUUAUUUUUUAUUUUAAAAAUGAGGUAAUACAUGUAUUAUGGGACCAGAAUGAAAAAAAUAUUUUUUUUCUGAGUACCUUUCCACAUGGCCCUUCUGGCUCUGAGAAAUCUAACUUUUUCUCUACUCAAUGAACUUUGAUUUCUUCUUACCUUAAAUAAUGUCUUCUACACUUCAUUCAUUUUACCAAGGCUCAGCAAAUGAUGGACAUGACCUACUGCUUGUCUUUGUAAAUAAAGUUUUAUUGGAACACAGCUGUCUUGCUACCAAACUCACUCUUGAGACUUUCUCUCUUCUUUGCAUUGAAGAAAUAAUACCAUGUUAUAAGAGAGACUGUGGAUAGGGCUACAUGGCAAGAAACUGAGGGUGACCUCUAGGGGCUGAGGGAGAACAACAGCCACCAAGAAAUUGAGGCCCUUAGCCUUAUAACCUCAAGGAAGUAAAUUCUGCAAACAACCUUGAAUUAGCCUGGAAAUAGUUUUUGUUGUUGUUGUUUUGUUUUUGGUUUUUUCCCUGUUAAGCUUCUAGAUGAGAACACAGUCCAACUGACUCUUCUUGCAGCCUUGUGAGAUUCUAAACAAAGGACCCAAAUAAACUAUGCUUGAACUCUGCCCGUGGUAAUUGUGAGAUGAAAACAUUGUUGUUUUAAACCUCUAACUUUGUAGUAAUUUGUUAUGCUGCAAUAGAUAACUGAAACAACAGCCAUGUUCAUUUGUUUACAUGUAGUCUGUAGCUACUUUUGAACAACAACAGAGUUGAGUAGUUACAGCAGAGAUCAUAUGGCCCACAAAGCCUAAAACCUGGCCCUUUAUAGAAAGAAAGGAUGCAGCACACUGCUUUGUACUGUGCUUUCUAAACUGGAGCAUCCCCAGAGGAAUAAAGUAGUUGGUAGGGAACACAAAAAGUCAUAAGAUGGACAUUGUAUAUAUUUCAAUAGCAUCACUUCUACUUUUUGUCAGAGGUAGAAAAAAUUACAUUUUCCAUCCUCUUUUGCAGCUACUGCAGCCAUGGAACUAAGUGUCGCUAAUGAAUUGUGAAUGGAAGUGAUCAUUCAUCUCCAGUUGUCUUCCCCUUUCUGUGACUGAAACCCAAAUUUGGAGCUGAGUCAACUUUGAGCAGACAAGAAUGCUAAUGCUUUAAGAGUGAUAAACGUGCAGAGAGCUAUAGGCAAAAAUAUCAAAGGUAUCAUUCGUACCUUUCAACUCUCAAGUGACCCUCCAGUAAGAGAAGAAGGUUUUGAAAUCAGUGACUUUGACUCCCAAAGAAAACCUGCUUGACACUUCUAACCCUCCAUUCUAAAUGAGCAAAAAUUUCACCUCCCUGAAAGCAGAGGGAAGACAUUGCUGGGUCAGUUUCAAAGGCUCAUUGGCUACCUUCCUGCCACAGUGGACCAUUGAGAGUCUGCUUCCAGUUCCUGGCAUGGUGGAAAUUGACCUUACACUCACUUUCCUCUAUAUGCAUCUGAGUGAGAACUUGAACUUCAACAUCCCCGUCUAGCUCCCUAGGAAAGUGAGGAGGUAUGGAAUAUGCCCUUAGUAGCCUGGCUGGAUUCUGUCUUUUGGCUGUUUGCUGCAUUUGUAGAAGGAAAAGAACAAUACAAAACAUUGCUCCUCUCUUUCCAGACUAAGCAUUUACAGUGCAACAUAGCUAAGUAGGAAACCAAGAAAAAGAGAGGAUGAGAUGUUAACUGAUGGAUCAAGUUACUCUUGUGUGCUCCAGUAACAGAUGUCCAAGCGGCUUCAGGGCUACCUUUGUGCUUCCUUUUUUAAACGUAUUUGAUCAUCUACAAGUUGGAAUGAUUUACAUCAUUUGAAACCCAUGAGAUGUGCUUGAGGCAGGGGAAUGAAUGAAUGAAAGGCUUUUUCCAUGUUAUUUUCACCCUGAAGUAUUUAACCUAUCCCAGUGUGUAUCAAAAACAGAAGAAACUGAUUCUGCAAUGCCAAGUUGUGUCUGCCUUGGACAAUUAACUACUACCAUACCUGAAUCUAUAUGCGUCUUUUUUUUUUUUUCUUCUGAACUUCAUCCACAAAAUGUGUUACAGGCAGUACAAAAAAAUGUAUUUAAAUUAAAUUAGUGAUAUUUAGCUUUAAAGAACAUGCAACAUUUCAGUUCCCUGCAGGGGGGUCUGAAAUGUCCCACGAUAUGUUUCAGAACCAUUCAGCUUGUUUGCCUCUUUCUGCUUCUCCUUCCUGACCACUGUUGUGGGGGCAGAGAGCCAGAUGGCAGGAGGUUCCUUUCCCAAACCAAUUAGCAUGUCCUCAUAUUUUGCCCUCUUCAGUCACAGCUUGUACUCGGCUGUCUCCCUGCAUGAAUCAACAGUGGUCCCAGGACAGGCAGAGACCAUCAGGAACUUACCCUUCACACAGAGAGAGACUCCAGAUCUCAGAGAGCAGUGCCCAAGAUGCCAAGACAGAACCCUGGUAUUUUCUACUAUUCUACAGCUGACAAGGAUAUGGGAACUUGUUCUUGACCAGAAAUGGUGAUUAUGGAGGGGCCAAAAUUGUUGGUCACAUCUGUGGAUCUGUGGCUCUGUGAAUUCUACAUAUUGCAGAAAGAGCAAAUCUCUUCUUCAGCCUCAAGGCUCUCUGGAGCUGGCUGCUCUACAUGGCUGUGCCAGAUUUCCUGCUUCUCUUGAAAGGUCAGCCGACCUGAAGACAUUGCAUGUGCCUCCUCUCAUGAAGUUGCUGUCCAUUUGCUUCAGUCCCCACUUGCCUGCUCCAGUCCCUUCUGAUACCUGCUGGAACUCACAGUGGACUUCAGGGAAGAAAAAAGCGGCCUCCAGGGUGGGAGGUGCCCUCUGCUGCGCGACCCCUAACCCCUUUAGAAACAGAACUGGGAACAGAGCACGCUAUUAAAAAGAGAUCGGGGACUGUUGGGCAGCGUGGUUUUCCACACUCUCCCUUCUCCCUCUGAAGAAGCAGAUGACAGCAGCGAAGAUGCGCUGAGCUGCUAAGGAGAGUGGAUCUGGACACCACAGCGUUUCCUGUUCACGCGAGCUCUGUGAGAACAACGCAGGCCUGAAGCUUUCCUGAAUGGCGGAGCUUGUCCGGGUUUGCUUUCCCAAGUGGAGCAGCAGCACAGCUGGGACGCUGUGGGGUCGGUCCUUAGGCUUUAAUUGGAGCGAGGCAUUCAGGCCUCCAUGCCUCUCCAGUGAGCACUGCCAGCUUUCAAGGACCCCGGGGACACCUAUUCAGGAGGGAGACAGGAGGAGAGGCACUUCUGUUGCCUGAAUCCCCCUGGCUUCUGACAUUGGCCUUUUUUUUUUUUUUUUUUUUUUUUUUUUUGCCCUGGAAAUAUUUUGCGUCUGUACGCAUCCUGUGCUGCUCUCAGCUAGCUCUUUACAAUUCUGUGGCUGUCAUGUCUUUUCUGGCUAGGGUGACUGCGGCUGCUCUGAGGCCUUCUGAUAGUUCUUGUUUACCUCUAGGGGGUAUUCCUUCUUUUAAGACAGGAUUAUGUAGCACACUCAGCUCUAUGCAAGCUGUUACAUUCAUUUCCCGGGGCUAGGCAGCGGCUCCUCCAAUUCCCAGGCCUCAGAAUGCAAAGUUUCCUGAGCCUCCUUCUAGGUUGCACUCUGUCCCCUGAAGGCCCCUACCCCAGGGGGUAACCGAGUAUCUGUUUCUACUCUUUUAGAAGCUGGCUUUAUGAGGAAGAAAGGCCAGGAAGGGUGAGGUGAAGUGUCCUUGCAAGAGUCAGGGAGAAAAUGCUGCCAAUUUCUGAAAAGCUAAACAGCAAUUUGAGAGUCAUGCCAUAGAACCUGCCUGCAGUUAAUGUUCCAGGCAGGCAAAAGCAGCUUAUGGCUGUCUGGGAGCAUAGGGUUCUGCUUCUCAGAAAGGAAGAAUGGAGAAGGUUUAUCUUCCUGGAGCACAAGUUAGUAACUAUUUUUGGAUCAUGAUUCUCUCAAGAUAUAAGAAAGCUAUGGGCCCUGUAAGGUCCCAGUAGAGACCAACAGGGGACUAAUAAGGUUCCCAACAGGGAUUCUCAUUGGUACAUACACAAUACGUGUGAUGCAGACACAUCCCAAAUAAUUUCAGGAAGUUCGUGGACCCAUUCACACCUGAUCGAAGCUCAGCUGGGGGUCCGGAGCCCAGAAAAAAUUUCCAGUUUUCAUUAGUGGGUGGCACAAAGCCCCAAAGGGCAACUCUUCCCUCAUCAAGCCAAGCAGAGGAGGCCAUUUUCUGGAUAAUUUAGGUAGAACCUCCUCUCCCUCCCCACAGUAUUUCUUUACACUUGGAAUUCAAACCAAAAGUGUGUUGCUUGCCAGGUAAGUGGCACCUUCUCUGCUGGCCCUAGACUCCUGGGAACCACGGCCGUAGCUUCAUGCACAGCUCCUGCUGGAGAGGGCUCUACAAUGCUGUGAGGACAUGCUCUAAUCAACUGAGAUUUAUGAGCUAGAAAAUAAAUCCUGCAGCACUGGCUCUGUGUUUGACCUAUGAUAAUAAGAGUCCCUUAUGGCCUUGAAGCUGGUGUCUUUGUACUGAUUUAUCAUGUAGACUGUGGGGAGCCAUAGGCCCCCUCUGCUGAAUACAUUUCUCUCCCAGUGGCAGGACAAGCUUCAUGGACCCAGACCAAAUCCCUUGGCAGUGUUGCUGGUGGUGACCUUGGCUUCAGGCUGUCUAUCAGCUCCAGCACCUGGCCAGAGGCCUGGGGCCAGGCCAGCGAUGGGAGGACACUGGGUGGGCAACAUGAGGUGGUUCUGCAGGCUUCACUGUACCUGGCGAGUUAUGGCCCAAAGCCUCAGGGCCAACCAGAAGUCGGAAAGGGGGUUCCCGUUUCAGUAAGUUGGGACCCAGAUUUGGCCAUAGGCAAAGCUGCAGAGCCUGAGUUAGUUUGUUCUUAACUCUUCCGGCUUCUUUCUCAGCCGCCUCUGUGACCACCUGCUUAAAUGUGUAUUCCUCCCGAGGACGGCCUAGCUGCUUUUUGGAAGAGCCCCCACUUUGCCCAGCUCCGGCAGCACCCCAUACCUCCCUCAAAACAUACACGUUUAUUAAUAAAGUUCCUGCUUCAGAAUUGAAAGGUUCUUCCACAUUUGAGCUUCAAAAUAGACCUGUGAAGUAGACAGACUUAGUCCCUGCCUACCUUUUUCCCCCAAUUCACCCCUGAUUUUACAGAUAAGGGAUUCAAAAUGGUGAGAAGGCAGGGAGUUAGUGUUCAUUAGGCGAAGGUGUGGCUUCUGCACAGCCUUUCUUUUCAGGUGAAAAGGGCCUGGAUUCAAAUUGAGGCCUUGCCCCUGGCUUGCAAGGUUGCUUCUUUAAAGUUUGUUGGACUAUUCUGAGCCUAAAUGUUUUCUUUUUUAAUCUAUAAAAUAGAGAUAAUAUAAUACAUUGGGACUGAUAUGAAGAUUAAAUUUAAAAAAAAAACAUGGCAGGUGUUCAAUCAUAGGGGUCAUACUGGUUGUAUCUUCCACAGCCCACGCACCAUGUUGUUUUAUUUUUUGUUGCUCAUGUGCCAUAUCUUUACAGGGCCAUUUACCAUUAAUGAUAACCCAAGGUGAGCAUCUCCCAGGGUCCACACUGAAAGGCCCCAGAGUCAUUUAUUUUGUUUCUAUGCUACUUUAAGUAGCAUGAACACAAAGGCACUUUCCAUUCUCAUGUAUUUGGCAAAUCACUUUGUGCAUAUUGCCAGAAUCUCCUUGAUGACUCUCAGGUAUGGGUUGUGAAAUAUGUUAAUAUCAAGGCAGACAGAGCUGAGCUAAAGAUUUCAUAUUUUCACAGUAUACAUUUUUUUUGUUUUAACUCAGAACUCUCUAUUAAAGCCUCUUAUGAUCUCCUGUCCUUUGCGUUUGCAGUUGUCAGUUCUACCUCCCACACUCCCACUGUCACAGGUUGGUCAGUCCUCUGAUCGCACACUUGGCACUCCGUAUCGCCUACAGAAUCAAGUCUCAAUCCUUAGUUUGUCUUCUCGACUGUACAAACAUUGUGCUUAAGUGGCCAAACACAAUCUAUGAUGCCCACUAAAGGAUGCUCUUUCUGCCCACUAUUCACUCCAUCUGCAAUGCCUUCUUCACCAGCAACUCCACUGCCCUGCCUUCACAGAUAGAAUUUCCUUUCCAAAGUCCUCUCUCAUCUACAGCUGGAAGCAACCUCCCUCCCUCAGAAGCCCCUAGCACUUAAUUGUGUCUUUCCUAUACUAUUUAAUCACUUUCUACCUUGGAGAAUAUUCAUUCUAAUCUACCUGGUUUAGCACCUCUCUCACAGAAAUCUCCUUGAAGGCAAAUUCCCUGCCUCUUUCAUCUUGGUAGCCUCAUGAUACCAAGCACAGUACCCUUCACAUGUUUUCAAAUGAAUUAGUGAAUUACAUAGAUAGAUUAAAAAGGUUUAAGUACAGAAUAAAAUGGUGGAACUAGUUUGGAUGAUUGAAACGUGUGAAUAUAUUUGAAGCAAUGUAGUCAUAUUACUUUUAAGUAUAUGUCUUCAACUAGGCUGACCUAGUCUUGCUUCAGCCAUAUCUUUAGGGAACAUGUUUUAAUGAAUAAUUUAUUUGUUAUUAAUAAUAUAUACAUAAUUUAUGUGUACUUUGUGCUUCUAAAAUACUUCUCAGCUCUUUGGAAAGUCUUUUCCCCCUAAGUAUUUUCGUAUUUCUAUUGAAAAUAGAAAUCUGGUUUACACUAUUAAUUUUUUGUUCCAUAGAUUGUGCGUAGGUAUUUCAGCCCAACUCCUGUCUGAAUGACCAAAAUACAUUUGGCAAAGCACCAGUCCUGAGAGAAGCUCCAUGAAAACAAUGUAUUUUGUGAUCAAAUACUUUUAGGAAAUAGUGUAUCCUAUUCCUUCCUCUUGGAGAUUGCCAUGUACUAGUUUUCUAUAGAAAUGCUGCAUUAUUGGGUUCCACAGUAGGGAGGUUUUUGUUUUUACUGACCUCUUAUCAAUAUGAGUAGGCUUCCUCUUCAACGCAGUCACCAUUUGUUGGACUAGAGGGUGUGUAUUCAUUUCUGAACCCCCUUCCUGCUCACACAGCACCCCCCAUAGAGGGGACAGACAGAGCUCUCCCUAUUCCACUCAGCUCCACUCACUACCACCCUUGCCAUGCCCACCUCCCACCGUAGGCAAAUUGCAGAGACUCCCAUCUUCCAAGCCUUCCUAGUAGGUAAUUUUAGACUAAACCAUAUGAAAUUGCCAGUAGUCGAUCGACUUCAUCUUGUUAACCUAAAAAUGGCAAUUUCAUAUCGUUCAACUCAAUUCUUCUUCUCUGACUUCAGUGACACUCCACUCAGGGUAAUGGAAAAGAUAGAGUUUGCAGAGGCGAGGAAAACACGUGUCCUCUAUGGGCGCCUCUCACACCACCUCUCUGAUCAUCUUCUUCAGCCCUUUUUUUGGAAGCUCCUCCUCUUCUCAUUCCUCAGGUAGGAAUGUUUUCCACAACUCCACUUCAUUUGGUCCUUACCUUUUAAUACUCAGAGCUCAUUCCCUCACAGUUUUGACUGGCCACUUUACGGAGACCCCACAGCUAAUCUCACUCUCUCCUGAGAUGCAGCCCUACAUUUUACACUGCCAAGGAGGCACUACCAUAGUCUUGCAGAGAGGAAAAGAAUGCGAUGCUUGUGUCCCACCCUGUGAUGGCCCUCACCCACCAAGGCCAGAGUGUGGAUGGACCAGCACACCAUUCCCCCUCUGGAGACACGGCUGAGGCCCCUGCCCCCCUACUCCCGAAAGGUGCCAUGGUUCAAUGGCUCUUUGUCCUUCGUACAACUCCCUUUAGGCAGUGACUGUCAGGCAGAGGGUAAAUCUCUUUCUACAGACAGGAAACUGAGGCACUGAGGAGUAAAACACCUAUUGAGCAUAGCAGACAAGGCAAGAGCCUUACUCAAGCCUAGAACUCAAGCAGUAUUAUCAGCUUGGAUCAAAAAAAAAAAAAACCAGAAUGAAUUAAAAACCAGCUCUCUUGUUGGUAAUGGCAUAAUUAUCAUGUGAUCAUGUGAUCACUACCUGCAAUAUGAUAUGAGGGGCCCCAGGAGACCGCGAGGCCUUGCCCAGUGGGGAAUGGGUUCCAUAAGUAAGUGGAGAAAUCAUGCUGGACACGUCAGAACACAUUUCUGGCUUCAGCUACCUGAGGAAUGAAAUAUUCUCAUAUAUGUAGUGGUCAUAUUUUAUGCAACGGAUGCUGUUUUGAGGGCCUUGCAUAACUCAAGACAAAUUUUCCCAUAGCAAUAAAUGUAAAGUUGGAUGUGUUCCAGAAGAACAUAAAUCUCUAAUUAUUGUGUUGCCUUUUUGCUUUAAAGCUGCUUUUUAUUUUCUUAGCAUUAUUUUUAAUAAUUUGCAGAGCCUUUUCCCACAUUAACAGCACAUCAGAGAGUGAGGAUGGGCUUCAUUAUGGUGUUUUACCACAUGUAACUUCCUUCGCAAAGAUUUUGAUUUGGGAGAGAUUUUUACCAGCUUUAGCAUGAACAUCCGCAUUCAGGAGUCUUUUAGAUGAUACCACUCUAAUAGAUUUUUAAAAGAUAAUAAAUUAUAUCAGUAAAGAUUGUAAUAUUAGCAAAAUUAUCACACAGAUACUAAUGAAUUCUUUGGUAUAUGUAAACAGUAACAAGAUUCACAGAUGACAGAGCCUGGAAAAGGAUGGCUGGCAUUUCUGUGGCCUAACACAUGGGAAAAGUAUAUACUGUUUCCAAGACCUUUUCCAGUCUUGGAAUUCUGCAAUUCUUGAUGGAUUUUUUUUUUUAAAUUUUGGAGGAUUGUCAUUGAUUCCAAUUCUGUGUAUAAUAUGAGACUUUACCAAUACUAUUCUCUAUGGCAUGGCUUCAGAACUGCACAAUUAACAUUUUUAUUCAGUGUGACCAUGCUGUGCUAAGAGGGUCCCAUGUGCCCUACCAGUUGGUCUCCACUGACAACAAGGCAAUGAAAACCAAUAAACUGCCUCUAUUCUGCCCCCACUGCAAAACACCUCGGCGGGAUAUUUUAAGUGUGUGGAUUCCCUGAAUAGCUCUAGGGCAGGGGCUCUCAAAAUGUGGUCCCUGAUCAGCAACAUUAGCGCCCACUGCAGGUCUGGUUGCAGUGGAGAUUCUGAUUUAGUACUGCCGAGGUGGAGCCUGAGAGAUUCUGCCUUCCUCAUAAGCCCUCAGGGGAUGCAGAUGCUGCUGGUUCACGGACCGCACUUUGAGUAGCAAGGCUGUGGAGUGCUUUGGGGGCCCUUCCCUGCCUCCCAUAGCUCUUCACUUACUUGCAAGUUCCUAAAUCUACCUUUACUGUACAAUUAAAAAAACAGUUUAAUGCAGCUGAAGUAACAGUAUCAGUGAUGAAUCCUUCCUCAGGACAAAAUAACCAUGACUUGCAAAGCACACUCUCUUUUCGAUGGUGGAGGGAGGAUGAGGGCCCUGACUUCUGCCUGGGCGAGAAGCUAGAUAAAGGAGUCUAGGUAAGCUGGAAUCGCUUUUGAAGACUUGACUGAUCAUUCUGUGCAGGGCUGGCCGAACACAUACUAGGGACCACUGCAGCUUAGAAUGUCUCAAGUUUCAUGCUGCUUUUGUUAUUUAAUAUGUCUGACUUCAUAUAAAGGAGCUUUGUUUAGGGGUGUGAGCUAAUUGAGCAUCAAGGUAUAUGAUAUAGACAUUGCCCUCAAGGAAUGUAAUGAAAUUUUUAACUGUUUCCAGAACAAGACUGAAGUAAACGAACUCUGUUCAGAAA